GACAGCGAACAGAGCUUGAAUGGGUGAUCUCAGGAUGCGCUGAGGGGAGACCAUGCGCUUUGUGACACAAAUAGAACAAUAGUCUUUGGAUGGCUGAGGACCGUAAAUUGAUACAGCUGGUACAAUUGGCCCGUUAUGAAUCUGUGCCCUUUUAUCUGUGAAUUGUUCAUGAAUCAACUCUGAUUUCAGGGAAAAAAAAUCCAUUUAUACUGCAAUUAGCCUUCAGAUACUUUGGCUGGAAAGUUUCUACCAGUAGGCAGUUCACAAGCUGACUUUGGAGCGUGAGAAUUGUGGCUUAGCCACUCCAGUUUCCCGUCUGUCUCUGAAAGGUGCCAGCUCCUGAUGCUGUAAAGGGCGGUGAAGAAACUGCACAAUAGCAAUUUGCAAAGGUUUUCCAGGCGACCGCCAAAGGAAUUGAAGAUGGAGGGGAGGGAGAGAAGAGAAGAGAAGUGAACGCUCCCUGAAAGCAUUCGCAUCUGAUGGCACAAGUCUAUUGGGAACGUGUAUGGAACAGAACAGAAUAUGACCUAAUUUGAAAGAGGCUGCAGUUCAUCGGCAGGAGGGAUUUAAACACCGUUCAGACUGACAUUUUCCCUCAUCUCGCAUCCCGUGGGGUACCUGAUUGCAAAUUUAUAAUCCACCAGACGUCUUGCCAUCAGAAGAUACAGACUUACAGUAACAGCAACUAAUUUUUAAAAGAUCUGCAGCGCAUCGGUGUCUGGGGCUGGUUUACACAGACUAAUUAAUCCUUAUUUGACCUGAAUUAACUCUUAAUCUGUGUGAAAUGAAAGAGCUUUAGUGGGAUACGGCAAAUUUUAGAAGAUGGGAAAAUCCUUUCUGUGCACGAGGCUUCUGCCUCUGGGUGACACAGAUUAGAAGAGGUGCUGGGUUGCUGCUGGAAAUUAGGUCCUUCCUUUUUAUCGUUUUCCCUUUCUCCAACCAGAACAUGCAGGAGAGGAGACAUUGUUCCUCUUUCUUCAGCACGAAGCAGAGGAAGGUUAUAUCAUUAAAAGACACUCUGGGAUUUGAAUUAAAUGUCAAAUAUGGUUUUUGUUGACAAUACAAAGCCCAGUGUUGGAACAAAAACUGACAGUUCCUACCGUGGGCCCCAGAUUAAUAUUAGGCCAAUAAUCAGAUUUCACACUGGCUGGGACAGGGAUGGAUUACUAUCUGGUAGAUUAGCACAGCCACCCCGUGACCCCUUUCUGCUCUGCUGGUUCAAGGGUAUUUGUACAAGAGAUAGAGGACAGCAGUACUACACUAGCAGUAGCUCAUGA
Molecule: long non-coding RNA, 1277 nt
Organism: Gavialis gangeticus (Gharial)
Lineage: Eukaryota; Metazoa; Chordata; Crocodylia; Gavialidae
Exons: 4
Source: RefSeq, a predicted model, not a curated record